RNAcentral lists this unclassified non-coding RNA (223 nucleotides) under uncultured Microbotryomycetes. RNAcentral describes it as "sequence contains ITS2". Lineage: Eukaryota; Fungi; Basidiomycota; Microbotryomycetes. The record is from RNAcentral.
AUUCUUCAACCCACACUUUUUCUUAGUAAACUGAGUGGUGCUUGGAUUUUGAUUGUUUGCUAGGUCUCACGACUUUGGCUCAAUCGUAAUAUAUUAGCAAUUCUAACCUAUAAUUGGAUUGACUCGGUGUAAUAGACUAUUCGCUGAGGAGUACUUGCUUGCAAGUGGCCAAAUAUAAAAUUGACUUUGCUUCUAAUCAGACUUUCUUAGUCAACUUUUUAAG